GACGUAGGGCGCGAGCGUUGUCCGGAUUUAUUGGGCGUAAAGAGCUCGUAGGCGGCUUGUCGCGUCGUCCGUGAAAACCUGGGGCUCAACCCCAGGCUUGCGGUCGAUACGGGCAGGCUAGAGGUAGGUAGGGGGAGAAUGGAAUUCCCGGUGUAGCGGUGAAAUGCGCAGAUAUCGGGAGGAACACCGGUGGCGAAGGCGGUUCUCUGGGCCUUACCUGACGCUGAGGAGCGAAAGCGUGGGGAGCGAACAGG
RNAcentral lists this ribosomal RNA (254 nucleotides) under uncultured bacterium. RNAcentral's name for it is "partial 16S ribosomal RNA". It matches the Rfam family "Bacterial small subunit ribosomal RNA", at positions 524 to 776 of the family's 1533-position model. The record is from RNAcentral.